This 465-nucleotide ribosomal RNA is filed under the name uncultured bacterium. Its description in RNAcentral is "bacterial SSU rRNA". It matches the Rfam family "Bacterial small subunit ribosomal RNA", at positions 339 to 796 of the family's 1533-position model. The record is from RNAcentral.
CUACGGGAGGCAGCAGUGAGGAAUAUUGGGCAAUGGGGGAAACCCUGACCCAGCAAUGCCGCGUGGAGGAAGAAGGUUUUCGGAUCGUAAACUCCUGUCAGGUGGGACGAAAAGCCGUCGGUGAAUAGCCGGCGGUCAUGACUGUACCAUCAGAGGAAGCCCCGGCUAACUCCGUGCCAGCAGCCGCGGUAAUACGGGGGGGGCGAGCGUUAUUCGGAAUUAUUGGGCGUAAAGGGCGCGUAGGCGGCAUGGCAAGUCAAAGGUGAAAUCCCUCGGCUCAACCGGGGAACUGCCUCUGAAACUGCCAAGCUCGAGGCCGGGAGGGGGUGGCGGAAUUCCCAGUGUAGCGGUGAAAUGCGUAGAUAUUGGGAGGAACACCAGUGGCGAAGGCGGCCACCUGGACCGGUGCUGACGCUGAUGCGCGAAAGCGUGGGGAGCAAACAGGAUUAGAAACCCUGGUAGUCC